Molecule: ribosomal RNA, 320 nt
Filed under: Salmonella enterica subsp. enterica serovar Bareilly
Lineage: Bacteria; Pseudomonadati; Pseudomonadota; Gammaproteobacteria; Enterobacterales; Enterobacteriaceae
Description: partial 23S ribosomal RNA
Rfam family: Bacterial large subunit ribosomal RNA
Source: RNAcentral
CAAGGCUAAAUACUCCUGACUGACCGAUAGUGAACCAGUACCGUGAGGGAAAGGCGAAAAGAACCCCGGCGAGGGGAGUGAAAAAGAACCUGAAACCGUGUACGUACAAGCAGUGGGAGCACCCUUUGGGGUGUGACUGCGUACCUUUUGUAUAAUGGGUCAGCGACUUAUAUUCUGUAGCAAGGUUAACCGUAUAGGGGAGCCGGAGGGAAACCGAGUCUUAAUUGGGCGUUAAGUUGCAGGGUAUAGACCCGAAACCCGGUGAUCUAGCCAUGGGCAGGUUGAAGGUUGGGUAACACUAACUGGAGGACCGAACCGAC